Molecule: ribosomal RNA, 490 nt
Filed under: uncultured bacterium
Lineage: Bacteria
Description: partial 16S ribosomal RNA
Rfam family: Bacterial small subunit ribosomal RNA
Source: RNAcentral
AUUGAACGCUGGCGGCAGGCCUAACACAUGCAAGUCGAACGGUAACAGGAAACAGCUUGCUGUUUCGCUGACGAGUGGCGGACGGGUGAGUAAUGUCUGGGAAACUGCCUGAUGGAGGGGGAUAACUACUGGAAACGGUAGCUAAUACCGCAUAACGUCGCAAGCCCAAAGAGGGGGACCUUCGGGCCUCUUGCCAUCGGCUGUGCCCAGAUGGGAUUAGCUAGUAGGUGGGGUAACGGCUCACCUAGGCGACGAUCCCCAGCUGGUCUGAGAGGAUGACCAGCCACACUGGAACUGAGACACGGUCCAGACUCCUACGGGAGGCAGCAGUAGGGAAUAUUGCACAAUGGGCGCAAGCCUGAUGCAGCCAUGCCGCGUGUAUGAAGAAGGCCUUCGGGUUGUAAAGUACUUUCAGCGGGGAGGAAGGGAGUAAAGUUAAUACCUUUACUCAUUGACGUUACCCGCAGAAAAAGCACCGGCUAACUCCGUG